Molecule: ribosomal RNA, 120 nt
Filed under: Pteropus alecto (black flying fox)
Lineage: Eukaryota; Metazoa; Chordata; Mammalia; Chiroptera; Pteropodidae
Source: RNAcentral
GUCUAUGGCCAUGCCACCCUGAACAAGCCCGAUCCCGUCUGAUCUCGGAAGCUAAGCGUGGUCUAGCCUGGUUAGUUACUUGGAUGGGAGACCACCUAGGAAGACCAGGUGCUGUAGGUG